Molecule: unclassified non-coding RNA, 336 nt
Filed under: air metagenome
Description: partial contains small subunit ribosomal RNA, internal transcribed spacer 1, and 5.8S ribosomal RNA
Rfam family: Eukaryotic small subunit ribosomal RNA (bases 1-46)
Source: RNAcentral
AAGUCGUAACAAGGUUUCCGUAGGUGAACCUGCGGAAGGAUCAUUAUUGAAGUAGCUGGGAGGUUGUUGCUGGCUCUCCGGAGUAGUUGUGCACGCCUCUCACAACUUUAUUUUAUUCACCUGUGCACCUCUUGUAGUCUCGAGUGACUUUUCGACCAGGAAACUGUGUCGGCUGGAUGAUUGCUCUUACCUUUGUUGAGGGGCUCUUGUCUGAUAGCUCGAGUCUAUGUCUUCACAAACAACUUAUCAUAAAUCUCAGAAUGUCAAUGGUCUGCCUCGCAAGGGGUUGACUUUAAACUUUAAAUACAACUUUCAACAACGGAUCUCUUGGCUCUC